Long non-coding RNA from Myotis davidii, 96 nucleotides. RefSeq lists it as uncharacterized. The record is from RefSeq and is a predicted model, not a curated record. Lineage: Eukaryota; Metazoa; Chordata; Mammalia; Chiroptera; Vespertilionidae. The transcript is spliced from 3 exons.
AUAGUUUCUUUUUAAAAAUUCGUUAUUGCUUAAGUAUUACAUAAGUUUCUUUUUUCCGCCAUUGACCUCCCCAGCUGCUCCCACCCCCAGCACAUG